UAGUGGCUGUCUUCUACUUCAGCAAGCUCCCAGCACCUCCUGUUGCAACGGCAGAGUACAGCUGGAGGCCGCUCUCAAAGGCCUGCCCUGCCCGGUGUCGUACACGCAUGUAGAAGUGAAACCACGGGGAAGACCCUUUGCUGGAAAGCCGGACCGCCGGCGAGCCCAGCCGCCGCGCAGCAUCUCGCAGCGGCCCUGGCGGCGGCACCGAGCAGGCGACCGGCCCCGCCAGGCGCCCGGGCCCUUUGCACGCGGCGCCGCGCUCUGCGCCGGCCUCCCGGGGAGGCGCGCGGGGCGUUUUGCACGCGGGGCGUUUUGCACGCGGGACGUUUUGCACGCGGGGCCCGGCUCUGCGCUGCGGCCCGGCGCGCUGCCGGCGGGAGGUUUGCACACAGCGCUCUGCGCCUCGCUGUGCAGAGCGGGGCAGCGCGGGCGAGGUUUGCACGCAGCACCCUGCCCUCGCUCGGCGUCCCGCGCCCGGGGAGGUUUGCACGCGUCGCCCCGGCCGGGCGCAGCGCAGCCUGCACGCGCCGUCCGCCCCGGGCCGCGCGCCCGGCCCUGCGGGGGUCGCCCUCGCCCGCACGCCGGCACCGUGCGCAGGGGCUCCGCACCCGCCCCCCUCCCCGCGGCCGCAUAAGGAGGAGGCAGAGGCCGCGGGCAGCAAACCGCCCGCCUGGCCGAGGGGCCGCGUGCCGCAGCGCUGCGCCAGCCAUGGACCCCCGGGACUGCGCCUGCGAGGCCGGUGCCUCCCGUAGCUGCGCGACCGGCUGCGAGUGCAGAGCCCGCAACUGCGCGUCGCGCCAGGAAAGCUGCUGCUCCUGCUGCCCGGGUGGCUGCAAGAACUGCGCCGCGGGCUGCAUCUGCGAGGACCCGUCGUCUCCAAGAUGUACCUGCUGUCAGUGACGCGGCUGGCGGCUUCCCGCUCCCUUGGGAAUAUUUUCUGUGUGAAAAUCCUGGUUUUGUAACUUUUUCACCGGUGUGGUAGCUGCCGUCAGCCUCGGCGCGCCUGGGCGUAGCGCGAAGGUGAUGGGAAUAAAGGCUUGAUGCAAGA
Molecule: long non-coding RNA, 1051 nt
Organism: Dromaius novaehollandiae (emu)
Lineage: Eukaryota; Metazoa; Chordata; Aves; Casuariiformes; Dromaiidae
Exons: 3
Source: RefSeq, a predicted model, not a curated record